CCUACGGGAGGCAGCAGUGGGGAAUAUUGCGCAAUGGGGGCAACCCUGACGCAGCAACGCCGCGUGAUUGAAGAAGGCCUUCGGGUUGUAAAGAUCUUUAAUCGGGGACGAAUUUUGACGGUACCCGAAGAAUAAGCUCCGGCUAACUACGUGCCAGCAGCCGCGGUAAUACGUAGGGAGCAAGCGUUAUCCGGAUUUACUGGGUGUAAAGGGCGUGUAGGCGGGCAUGCAAGCCAGAAGUGAAAUCUGGGGGCUUAACCCCCAAACUGCUUUUGGAACUGCGUGUCUUGAGUGAUGGAGAGGCAGGCGGAAUUCCCAGUGUAGCGGUGAAAUGCAUAGAUAUCGCGCAGAACCCCGAUUGCGAAGGCAGCGUGCCGUGCCGCCACUGACGCUGAGGCACGAAAGCGCGGGGAUCGAACAGGAUUAGAUACCCGUGUAGUC
RNAcentral lists this ribosomal RNA (441 nucleotides) under uncultured bacterium. RNAcentral describes it as "partial 16S ribosomal RNA". It matches the Rfam family "Bacterial small subunit ribosomal RNA", at positions 338 to 795 of the family's 1533-position model. The record is from RNAcentral.